GUGCUCUCUUUGGCAGCACAGAUACUAAAUUGGAAUGAUCUAGAGAUGAUUAGCCUGGCCCCUGGCACAAAUGUACAAAUUUGUGAAGUGUUUCAUGUUUUU
Peromyscus eremicus (cactus mouse) is the source of this 102-nucleotide small nuclear RNA. The record is from RefSeq and is a predicted model, not a curated record. NCBI's taxonomy places the organism in Eukaryota, Metazoa, Chordata, Mammalia, Rodentia, Cricetidae.